GAGCUCGGGGCGCCGCGCCCCCCGCGGCCGUCAGCGCGGGGUCUGAAGGGUAAAGCGGGGCCGGGAGGGCUGCGCCGGGAGCCGGGCGCCGCGGCCCCCCCUGGAAAGUUACCGGCCGGGGGGUCCCGAGCUGGGGAAGCCGCCGGGAUGCCGCUUUCCGAGAGGGAGCCGGCGGGGAGGCUCCGCGUAGCUAUGUGUAGGUGCGAGCUGCCUGCCAGUCAUGUCCUCCUCCGGUCUGCAGUUCCGCGACGGGAUUGAAAAUAGCUGGAUUUGCAGAGCAGCAGGGGAGAGCGGUGCUGCGCGGGUGGGAGCGCAGCGCCGGGGAGCGGCGGGGCUGGGGCGGCCGGGUGGGCGCCGUGCGGCGGUGCCGGUGGCGGCGGUGGCAGUGACCUUGUGCAAUGAACCUGAGCGCUGUGGCGGCCGGGGCGCAGCGGGGCCAAGGUGCCGCGACUGGGAGUUGGGCUGCAAACUGUGCGGGUUGGUGUCUGGUUGCUUUCAGAUCGAUAUUCAGUACGAUUUGACUUUCUGCUUAAGAGAGGGCCGAGCUAUUCAGGAUUGGGAGGAGGUAUCGGAGGUAGGUCUGGAGUGAGCUGGAGCCAUCUCAGCCAUAGACAUAACCCCUGUAGAGCAUAAACAAUACUGAUUUAACUACUGAACUGGUAGAAGGAGCCCAGUUUUUAAAGAACAGUCUGGAUACUCUUGUGAUUGUAGCAUCUGAAGUACAUAGCAACAUUAGAACUAAAAUUGUAUUAUAUUUCACAACAUCCUGGUAAUAGAAGAAAUUCUGGUACAAGGGUCGACAAAAGUCUUGGGAGUCUUUAAGUGAACUUCAAUCAUUUUUGGAUCAGGUCCUGAAAAAGGUGGAUAGAAGUAACCAAGGUGUGAGCUCGUUAUGUGCAGCUCUUUGGGCAAAAAGCCAGGAUGGAAGAAAGCAGGACAAAAUUCGCUAACCAUUCUCCCUCCAGUGCUGUAUGGAUAGGUAUAUAUAUAUAGAAUGUGAUUUAAAAUAUUGCUGCAGUGUUUGAAGAUCUCGGUAUUCUUAUAUCCUGCCACCAAAAUAUUAAUCUCCAAUUCAGUGAGCCUAAAAAUGUUCACUUGGAGAUUUUGAUAAUUGGAUUUUUUGAAGAAUUUAACAUUAUUAAAUAGUGUUCAUUGCCUAUCUGUUAUUUUAGUUUCCUCAUCUGAA
This 1186-nucleotide long non-coding RNA is filed under the name Numida meleagris (helmeted guineafowl). Its description in RNAcentral is "lncRNA (ENSNMEG00000018577.1)". Lineage: Eukaryota; Metazoa; Chordata; Aves; Galliformes; Numididae. The record is from RNAcentral.